AGGUAAGCUACUAAGAGCGAAUGGUGGAUGCCUUGACUGGUAAAGGCGAUGAAGGACGUACUAGACUGCGAUAAGCUACGGGGAGCUGUCAAGAAGCUUUGAUCCGUAGAUUUCCGAAUGGGGCAACCCAAUGUAUAGAGAUAUACAUUACCUAUAUAGGAGCGAACGAGGGGAAUUGAAACAUCUUAGUACCCUCAGGAAAAGAAAUCAAUAGAGAUUGCGUCAGUAGCGGCGAGCGAAAGCGCAAGAGGGCAAACCCAGUGCUUGCACUGGGGGUUGUAGGACUGCAAUGUGCAAGAGGUAAGUUUAGCAGAACAUUCUGGAAAGUAUAACCAUAGAGGGUGAUAGUCCCGUAUGCGAAAAACAAACCUUAGCUAGCAGUAUCCUGAGUAGGGCGGGACACGAGGAAUCCUGUCUGAAUCUGGGUCGACCACGAUCCAACCCUAAAUACUAAUACCAGAUCGAUAGUGCACAAGUACCGUGAGGGAAAGGUGAAAAGAACUGAGGUGAUCAGAGUGAAAUAGAACCUGAAACCAUUUGCUUACAAUCAUUCAGAGCCCUAUGUAGCAAUACAGGGUGAUGGACUGCCUUUUGCAUAAUGAGCCUGCGAGUUGUGGUGUCUGGCAAGGUUAAGCAAACGCGAAGCCGUAGCGAAAGCGAGUCUGAAUAGGGCGCUUAGUCAGAUGCUGCAGACCCGAAACGAAGUGAUCUAUCCAUGAGCAAGUUGAAGCUAGUGUAAGAACUAGUGGAGGACUGAACCCAUAGGCGUUGAAAAGCCCCGGGAUGACUUGUGGAUAGGGGUGAAAGGCCAAUCAAACUUCGUGAUAGCUGGUUCUCUCCGAAAUAUAUUUAGGUAUAGCGUUGUGUCGUAAUAUAAGGGGGUAGAGCACUGAAUGGGCUAGGGCAUACACCAAUGUACCAAACCCUAUCAAACUCCGAAUACCUUAUAUGUAAUCACAGCAGUCAGGCGGCGAGUGAUAAAAUCCGUCGUCAAGAGGGAAACAACCCAGACUACCAGCUAAGGUCCCUAAAUCUUACUUAAGUGGAAAACGAUGUGAAGUUACUUAAACAACCAGGAGGUUGGCUUAGAAGCAGCCAUCCUUUAAAGAAAGCGUAAUAGCUCACUGGUCUAGUGAUUUUGCGCGGAAAAUAUAACGGGGCUAAAGUAAGUACCGAAGCUGUAGACUUGCACACAACUUAGAUUAUUUAAGUUUAGAAUAUGAGAAACUAAGUUAUAUGUUUAGUUAUAUUUUUACUGAUUUUUAUAGAGUAAAGAUAGAAAUAAAACUUAGUAAAAUCAGUAAAAAUAUUCUUAGACUAAAGUUAAGUAGUUUAAGUUGUGUGCAAGUGGUAGGAGAGCGUUCUAUUUGCGUCGAAGGUAUACCGGUAAGGAGUGCUGGAGCGAAUAGAAGUGAGCAUGCAGGCAUGAGUAGCGAUAAUUAAUGUGAGAAUCAUUAACGCCGUAAACCCAAGGUUUCCUACGCGAUGCUCGUCAUCGUAGGGUUAGUCGGGUCCUAAGUCGAGUCCGAAAGGGGUAGACGAUGGCAAAUUGGUUAAUAUUCCAAUACCAACAUUAGUGUGCGAUGGAAGGACGCUUAGGGCUAAGGGGGCUAGCGGAUGGAAGUGCUAGUCUAAGGUCGUAGGAGGUUAUACAGGCAAAUCCGUAUAACAAUACUCCGAGAACUGAAAGGCUUUUUGAAGUCUUCGGAUGGAUAGAAGAACCCCUGAUGCCGUCGAGCCAAGAAAAGUUUCUAAGUUUAGCUAAUGUUGCCCGUACCGUAAACCGACACAGGUGGGUGGGAUGAGUAUUCUAAGGCGCGUGGAAGAACUCUCUUUAAGGAACUCUGCAAAAUAGCACCGUAUCUUCGGUAUAAGGUGUGGUUCGCUUCGUAUUAGGAUUUACUCCGAAAGCGAAGAAACUUACAACAAAGAGUCCCUCCCGACUGUUUACCAAAAACACAGCACUCUGCUAACUCGUAAGAGGAUGUAUAGGGUGUGACGCCUGCCCGGUGCUCGAAGGUUAAUUGAUGGGGUUAGCAUUAGCGAAGCUCUUGAUCGAAGCCCGAGUAAACGGCGGCCGUAACUAUAACGGUCCUAAGGUAGCGAAAUUCCUUGUCGGUUAAAUACCGACCUGCAUGAAUGGCGUAACGAGAUGGGAGCUGUCUCAAAGAGGGAUCCAGUGAAAUUGUAGUGGAGGUGAAAAUUCCUCCUACCCGCGGCAAGACGGAAAGACCCCGUGGACCUUUACUACAGCUUGACACUGCUACUUGGAUAAGAAUGUGCAGGAUAGGUGGGAGGCUUUGAGUAUAUGACGCCAGUUGUAUAUGAGCCAUUGUUGAGAUACCACUCUUUCUUAUUUGGGUAGCUAACCAGCUUGAGUUAUCCUCAAGUGGGACAAUGUCUGGUGGGUAGUUUGACUGGGGCGGUCGCCUCCCAAAUAAUAACGGAGGCUUACAAAGGUUGGCUCAGAACGGUUGGAAAUCGUUCGUAGAGUAUAAAGGUAUAAGCCAGCUUAACUGCAAGACAUACAAGUCAAGCAGAGACGAAAGUCGGUCUUAGUGAUCCGGUGGUUCUGUGUGGAAGGGCCAUCGCUCAAAGGAUAAAAGGUACCCCGGGGAUAACAGGCUGAUCUCCCCCAAGAGCUCACAUCGACGGGGAGGUUUGGCACCUCGAUGUCGGCUCAUCGCAUCCUGGGGCUGGAGCAGGUCCCAAGGGUAUGGCUGUUCGCCAUUUAAAGCGGUACGCGAGCUGGGUUCAGAACGUCGUGAGACAGUUCGGUCCCUAUCUGCCGUGGGCGUAAGAAGAUUGAAGAGAUUUGACCCUAGUACGAGAGGACCGGGUUGAACAAACCACUGGUGUAGCUGUUGUUCUGCCAAGAGCAUCGCAGCGUAGCUAAGUUUGGAAAGGAUAAACGCUGAAAGCAUCUAAGCGUGAAGCCAACUCUAAGAUGAAUCUUCUCUAAGCUCUCUAGAAGACUACUAGUUUGAUAGGCUGGGUGUGUAAUGGAUGAAAGUCCUUUAGCUGACCAGUACUAAUAGAGCGUUUGGCUUAUCUUU
This 3056-nucleotide ribosomal RNA is filed under the name Campylobacter coli. RNAcentral describes it as "23S ribosomal RNA". It matches the Rfam family "Bacterial large subunit ribosomal RNA". The record is from RNAcentral. Lineage: Bacteria; Pseudomonadati; Campylobacterota; Epsilonproteobacteria; Campylobacterales; Campylobacteraceae.